GAUGAACGCUGGCGGCGUGCCUAAUACAUGCAAGUCGAGCGGACGGACGAGAAGCUUGCUUCUCUGAUGUUAGCGGCGGACGGGUGAGUAACACGUGGAUAACCUACCUAUAAGACUGGGAUAACUUCGGGAAACCGUAGCUAAUACCGGAUAAUAUUUUGAACCGCAUGGUUCAAAAGUGAAAGACGGUCUUGCUGUCACUUAUAGAUGGAUCCGCGCUGCAUUAGCUAGUUGGUAAGGUAACGGCUUACCAAGGCAACGAUGCAUAGCCGACCUGAGAGGGUGGUCGGCCACACUGGAACUGGGACACGGUCCAGACUCCUACGGGAGGCAGCAGUAGGGAAUGUUACGCAAUGGGCGAAAGCCUGACGGAGCAACGGCGCGUGAGUGAUGAAGGUCUUCGGAGCGUAAAACUCUGUUAUGAGGGAAGAACAUAUGUGUAAGUAACUGUGCACAGCUUGACGGUACCUAAUCAGAAAGCAACGGCUAACUACGUG
Molecule: ribosomal RNA, 497 nt
Filed under: uncultured bacterium
Lineage: Bacteria
Description: partial 16S ribosomal RNA
Rfam family: Bacterial small subunit ribosomal RNA
Source: RNAcentral